Molecule: ribosomal RNA, 271 nt
Filed under: uncultured prokaryote
Description: partial 16S ribosomal RNA
Rfam family: Bacterial small subunit ribosomal RNA
Source: RNAcentral
UACGGAGGAUCCGAGCGUUAUCCGGAUUUAUUGGGUUUAAAGGGUGCGCAGGCCGGAUGUUAAGUCGGCGGUGAAAUUUUGCAGCUCAACUGUAAAAGUGCCUUCGAUACUGGUUUUCUUGAGUGCGUAAGAGGCAGGCGGAAUUCGUUGUGUAGCGGUGAAAUGCUUAGAUAUGACGAGGAACUCCUAUUGCGAAGGCAGCUUGCUGGGUCGUUACUGACGCUGAUGCUCGAAGGUGCGGGGAUCAAACAGGAUUAGAUACCCCGGUAGU